This 506-nucleotide ribosomal RNA is filed under the name uncultured bacterium. RNAcentral's name for it is "bacterial SSU rRNA". It matches the Rfam family "Bacterial small subunit ribosomal RNA", at positions 21 to 518 of the family's 1533-position model. The record is from RNAcentral.
GGCUCAGAACGAACGCUGGCGGCGCGUUUAAGCAUGCAAGUCGAGCGGCAAGGGCCUUCGGGCCCUAGAGCGGCGGACGGGUGAGUAACACGUGGGCAAUCUGCCCCCCGGCCCGGGAUAGCCCAGGGAAACCUGGAUUAAUACCGGAUGAGACGGGACCCGCGAUGGCGGGAUCCGGGAAAGGCGCUGCGGCGCCGCCGGGGGAUGAGUCUGCGUCCCAUUAGCUGGACGGCGGGGUAACGGCCCACCGUGGCGACGAUGGGUGGCCGGCCUGAGAGGGUGGACGGCCACAUUGGAACUGAGACACGGUCCAGACUCCUACGGGAGGCAGCAGCUAAGAAUCUUCCGCAAUGGGCGAAAGCCUGACGGAGCGACGCCCGCGUGAACGAAGAAGGCCGUGAGGUUGUAAAGUUCUUUUCGGGAGGGGGAACAACCGUGGCAGGGAAUGGCCGCGGGAUGACGUGAAUCCCGGAAUAAGCCCCGGCUAACUACGUGCCAGCCGCAGC